GUGGGGAAUCUUGGGCAAUGGGCGAAAGCCUGACGCAGCGACACCGCGUGGGGGAUGAAGGCCUUUCAGGUCGUAAACCCCUUUCGGCAGGGACGAAGCGAUCUCGUGACGGUACCUGCAGAAGAAGCCUCGGCUAACUACGUGCCAGCAGCCGCGGUAACACGUAGGAGGCGAGCGUUGUCCGGAAUCAUUGGGCGUAAAGAGCGCGCAGGCGGCUUGGCAAGUCGAGUGUGAAAUCCCGGGGCUCAACCCCGGGACUGCAUCCGAUACUGUCAGGCUAGAGGUAGGUAGGGGAGAUCGGAAUUCCUGGUGUAGCGGUGAAAUGCGCAGAUAUCAGGAGGAACACCGGUGGCGAAGGCGGAUCUCUGGGCCUUACCUGACGCUCAGGCGCGAAAGCUAGGGGAGCGAACAGGAUUAGAUACCCUGGUAGUCCUAGCCGUAAACGUUGGGUGCUAGGUGUGGGCGGAUAUCAACCCCGUCCGUGCCGAAGCUAACGCAUUAAGCACCCCGCCUGGGGAGUACGGCCGCAAGGCUAAAACUCAAAGGAAUUGACG
Molecule: ribosomal RNA, 554 nt
Filed under: uncultured Actinomycetes bacterium
Lineage: Bacteria; Bacillati; Actinomycetota; Actinomycetes
Description: SSU rRNA
Rfam family: Bacterial small subunit ribosomal RNA
Source: RNAcentral